CUCAGUUCGGAUCGCAGGCUGCAACCCGCCUGCGUGAAGUCGGAAUCGCUAGUAAUCGCGGAUCAGCAUGCCGCGGUGAAUACGUUCCCGGGCCUUGUACACACCGCCCGUCACACCAUGAGAGUCGGGAACACCCGAAGCCCGUAGCCUAACUUGCAAGAGAGAGCGCGGUCGAAGGUGGGUUCGAUAAUUGGGGUGAAGUCGUAACAAGGUAAC
RNAcentral lists this ribosomal RNA (216 nucleotides) under uncultured bacterium. Its description in RNAcentral is "partial 16S ribosomal RNA". It matches the Rfam family "Bacterial small subunit ribosomal RNA", at positions 1287 to 1500 of the family's 1533-position model. The record is from RNAcentral.